CCCAGACUCCUACGGGAGGCAGCAGUAGGGAAUUUUGCGCAAUGGGGGAAACCCUGACGCAGCAACACCGCGUGAAUGUUAAGCCCUUCGGGGUGUAAAGGUCUGUCAAUAGGGACGAAUUUUGACUGUACCUAUAAAGGAAGCACCGGCUAACUCCGUGCCAGCAGCCGCGGUAAUACGGAGGAUGCGAGCGUUAUCCGGAUUUAUUGGGUUUAAAGGGUGCGCAGGCGGAGGUGCAAGUCAGCGGUCAAAUUGCGGGGCUCAACCCCGUACUGCCGUUGAAACUGCAUCCCUUGAGUGGGCGAGAAGUAUGCGGAAUGCGUGGUGUAGCGGUGAAAUGCAUAGAUAUCACGCAGAACUCCGAUUGCGAAGGCAGCAUACCGGCGCCCAACUGACGCUGAAGCACGAAAGCGUGGGUAUCGAACAGGAUUAGAUACCCCAGUA
Molecule: ribosomal RNA, 444 nt
Filed under: uncultured bacterium
Lineage: Bacteria
Description: bacterial SSU rRNA
Rfam family: Bacterial small subunit ribosomal RNA
Source: RNAcentral